Molecule: long non-coding RNA, 648 nt
Organism: Paramisgurnus dabryanus
Lineage: Eukaryota; Metazoa; Chordata; Actinopteri; Cypriniformes; Cobitidae
Source: RefSeq, a predicted model, not a curated record
AUGAGAAAAGUCAGGAAUCGAUCAAAAGAAUCAAAAUGCGUGCAUCGUAACGAAUCCCCGGUUCUUUAAAGUUUUAAUCGGUUCUAAAAUGAAACUGAUUCUUCAUACCCAACCCUAGACUCUGUCUUUGUUCACCAGUGGUCCCUUUUUUCCCUGUGACGGAGCAUGUUGUCAUUUUUUCUAAGGUGGAAAUGGAGUCCAUCACAGUUCUGAGUAACAUAAGUGUAUGGAAUUGAAACGACAUAAGGGUUGAUGAUGACAAGGUGAUGACACAAAGGAGCUUCCAUUGCCUUUAUUGCAACUAGGACUGACAAUAAUGUCUGCAAACCCUUCUCCAAAUAUUAAGUCUUAUUCUAUUACAACAUUGCCACCUGCCAGCAACCAAAUAUCUGUUUAAAAAUAUGUUGUCAAUUUUUGUAAAUAGAUCAUUUUGUCAAAAUAAAGAUUAAAAAAAUCUGCCACCACAUUUGUGUGUAUAUUGCCUUUAUGCAGAUUUCAAAUGUAUUUAUAUAAUUUAUCAUUGGAACCAAAGUACACAUUAUCACACUUGUUGAUGCACAGUAAAGCCGAAAGUUGAUGUUUACGCAAACAUUAGCCUACUUGUGGUUUGGUAACAUGUGAUCCACAUGUUGAAACUAUUGCAUUAUA